CUACGGGUCGCACCAGUGGGGAAUAUUGCACAAUGGGCGCAAGCCUGGUGCAGCCAUGCCGCGUGUAUGAAGAAGGCCUUCGGGUUGUAAAGUACUUUCAGCGGGGAGGAAGGGAGUAAAGUUAAUACCUUUGCUCAUUGACGUUACCCGCAGAAGAAGCACCGGCUAACUCCGUGCCAGCAGCCGCGGUAAUACGGAGGGUGCAAGCGUUAAUCGGAGUUACUGGGCGUAAAGCGCACGCAGGCGGUUUGUUAAGUCAGAUGUGAAAUCCCCGGGCUCAACCUGGGAACUGCAUCUGAUACUGGCAAGCUUGAGUCUCGUAGAGGGGGGUAGAAUUCCAGGUGUAGCGGUGAAAUGCGUAGAGAUCUGGAGGAAUACCGGUGGCGAAGGCGGCCCCCUGGACGAAGACUGACGCUCAGGUGCGAAAGCGUGGGGAGCAAACAGGAUUAGAUACCCUUGUAGUC
Molecule: ribosomal RNA, 464 nt
Filed under: uncultured bacterium
Lineage: Bacteria
Description: partial 16S ribosomal RNA
Rfam family: Bacterial small subunit ribosomal RNA
Source: RNAcentral